Long non-coding RNA from Neofelis nebulosa (Clouded leopard), 5135 nucleotides. RefSeq lists it as uncharacterized. The record is from RefSeq and is a predicted model, not a curated record. Lineage: Eukaryota; Metazoa; Chordata; Mammalia; Carnivora; Felidae. The transcript is spliced from 2 exons.
GGAAGGAAAAGGGAAAGAAAGAAAAGAAGGAAAAAGAAUUAAAGAAAACAGAUCAAGGGAAGGAAAGUCGGGUUCUCGGAAGGCAAACCCCGGGCUGCAGCCACUGAGCCACGCAGCAAUGGAGAUCUCCCAAGACUGGACGUAUGAAAUGAUAUAUCACUGGAGUUCCAGAACCUCUCCCUAGCCAGUAGUGUGCACAACACAGGCCCAUCAGGAGCCAGAGGAAGGAGGCAAUCUAUGCAGAAGGGGACACUGGAGCACUACCACUGGAGAGCUACUGUUGAGUGCCUGGGGCAACCUCAGACCCACGGUCACCUUCCAGAUUCCAGGAUCUGACAGGAUCCUGGGCCUUAGCUUACAUCCCGUUAGAUUUUCACAGAUAUUCCCAGAAAUCUGCUCUCCCUUUACUGCAACCAUGAGCAAGCCUACGUGAGAACCUGGUAUUGGCAACCCGAAUAAAACUAAAACUAAAUCGCUUCUUAGACUGGGUACUGUUGUCAUUCAGACUUUAUUCUCUCCCGCAUCCAAUACACCAGCUAUAGCACACAGUGGCACUGGAGAUCCUCAGCAAAUGUUGACUAAAUGAAUAUUAGUGAAAACACUCCUGAAAAAAAACCUAAAUACACAGAAAAGGAAAUGGCUAAUGAACUGGCAGGGUUAAUGUAGACAUUAUACAAAUACCAGGAGAAGGGCCGAAGGAAUCCCUGACUGCAUACAUCCCACUUUCCCAAGGUUACAUAACACUUCGAGGAAAAAAGGCAAGCACAGCUACACGCAUCUACCCUGCUGGUCUUUGGAUUGGCACACUUGGGACGCAGCUGAAACAGAGGAGGAGGUCAGCGCGGACCGGCAAUGCCAGCAAGACUUGAGGACGGGGCACCGCAAAGAUGUUCAGUUUCCGAUACAACAAAGGAGGGAAACAUCCCCACUGAUAACCCCACGUUCAGCCGGAGGAAGCUCUGUGGCCACAUGGAAAUACAGAAAACUGGAGCACAUUUCAAGGGAGCAGUGGAAAAUGACUCAGGGGCGGGGAGGCCUGCCUUUAAAGGGAAGAUAAAAGGUGCUAAAUCUGUACAGUUCAGCUAAGUGGUGACUAAGAGGGUGACAGGAUAACAAUCUGCAAAUAUUUGAAAGGUGUAAACACGAGAAAGGAGGGAAAAUGCUUAGUUUGAGGACGGGGGGUGUAAUUAUUAGGAGAAAGAGAAAUCUGGACAAAAUAUCAGAAAAACCAAGCGUGGGGAUGACUAGUGGGUUAUAAAUAAGUUUCCCAAUUGAAAUGGAAAUGCUGUUAUUUGACCCUGAAACUGAAAUGUGGCUACUAAGCCCAUCCUUCUACUUAUGAGAAAGCAGCCCAGCCCAGGGAACUGUUAUUGUAUUUUCUAUAUUUUGGGAAUGAUUUCUUGAAUAAUAUUCAAAUUUAAAUAUCUCUGCUUUAAAUGCUGCUCCCUGAAAUUAAAAUGUUUUUAAAUGUUUAUUUUUGAGAGAGAGAGAGAGAGAGAGAGAGCGAGCAAGCAGGGGAGGGGCAGAGAGCAAGGGAGACACAGAAUCUGAAGCAGGCUCCAGGCUCUGAGCUGUCAGCAUAGAGCAUGAUGUGGGCCUCGAACCCAUGAACUCUGAGAUCAUGACCCAAGCCAAAGUUGGAUGUUCAACCGACUGAGCCACCCAGGCACCCCUCCCUGAAAUUCCAACACAUUUUCUUUUGUUGAUCAAACCUGAUAAAAUGGUUGUCCUGGUGGGACUUUCAGAACAAAAACUGGCUUUAUCUGCUAGUAUGUGCCACCUGCCUGGCUGACAGCUUAAGUGGAGCUGAGUACAGAGCCGGGUGACAGACAGGUGGGAAAGGGACAGAAGACUACACUAUCUCAUCUAGCAGGACACCUUCAUCCUUCACCUUUAAGACCCUAGGUAAGAAUGCUGUAAACGUUCCCCAGAUGGAACUGUAGACACGUCUCCCUUUUUAAAUACACAGUCCCCUGGAGUAAACGUCAAGGACAAGGCAAGGCACAGAAAGAACACCAAAAUAAGCUUCCUGUCACACUGACUGCACUCCAAUACCUUUGCCUGAGUUCCUGCUGCUGCAGCUAGCCAAUUUACAAGCCAAUUUAUAAUUCACAGACUCUCAGUAGAGAUUUUUACCCCCGGAUUCAAUUAGUUCCAUUUCUAUACUUUGCCCUGCCAGCCUUCCCCGCCCCCACCAAAAACCAAAACACAAAUUAAAAAACCCCACUAUGUACAGAGAAUAAGGCUCCUUAUAUAGCCUAAGAAAAGGAACACUUAACUGUGUUCAAGUCAAUUUCAAAACCAAACCAAACCAAACCAAACCAAAUAUUCUUUGGUGUUAACAAAGUUUAGACAGCUGUUUCUUCCCUAAGCAUCAAGAACAAAAUCCAGAACUCUCACACCAAUGGCACAAAAUGCUGAGGCAGACAGGCCAUCUGCCUAAUUUUAAGGAACGUGGUUAUCACCUGCAUAUACGUAUAAAACCAAAUUAGCACACCACAUUGUUAGUUCUCAGAAAUGUAACACAUCUCAUGCACCAGAAGCUUAUCUGAGUUCUCUCUCAUAAGGUUUAAAUCAGAAUUAAUUUGGAGACCUCAAACUGCAAAUGCUGUCCAUGAAUCAGUUAACAACUGAGAACUGCAAACCAUCCCAUUAGGGCCAGCUGGUCCUUCAUUUCCUAAAAUGGCCCCAAAGCAAGGCAAAUCGUAGACCAGUUCCUAAGAGUUAGUUCUACAUGAUAGGAGGCCUCGAUUUGUAUUGAAAGGGUCAGAAAUAAAACAAGGAUUUUGUAUUGUCUCAAAUUCUUUCUUCUCUCCCUUGUUCUCUAAACUGCUAUGUUAUUACCUCCGGGGAGGCAGCAUCUUGUGGGCCAAUUUUGGAAUAUGUCACUGCUAAAGCUCUUUCAGUGAUCAGAAUAAAGGGAUAAAAGAAGAAUGAAGGGAUCCUAAUUAAAGAGAUCCAACUCCUCAGGUAAUUGUAGUCAGGGACUCAGAACCGGUUAAGAGCUGAGACUGAAGCUGUUUUUAGUUCAUAAUUCCGACUGUUAAGGUAGACUUUUAUUGGGCUGCUCUGAUUUGGUAAUGUGUGAUGCAUUUGUUGAAAGACGAGAAACUGAAGUUAAUUGGGAAGAGAAGCAAUAUGACCCAGUCUUCCUUCAUAAGGUGAUGGGAACUGCGACUUGCUUUGAAGAAAGGAAGGGGGUGAAGGAGAGGCACCUGCAGAAAAGAGGUACAGUAGUCUCCCCACCACCUGGUUCCACUUUCUGUGGUUCCAGUUACCCGUGGUCCAAUGCAGCCCAGAAGCAGGUGACCCCACUUCUGCGGUACUGUCAGGUCACCAGUAGCCUAACGUUACGUCACAGUGCCUGCAUCAUUCACCCUAACUCAUCUUACCGUGUAGGCAUUUUAUCAUCUCACAUCAUCACAAGCGUGAGUAUAGUACAAUAAGGUAUUCUGAGACCAUAUGCACAUAACUUUUAUUAUAGAAUAUUGUUAUAAUUGUUCUAUUUUAUUGCUGUUGUAAAUCUCCUGUGCCUAAUUUACAUACUAAAGUUUAUCAUAGAUAUGUAUGUAAAGGAAAAAAAACAUAGUAUAUAUAGAGUUUGGUUUGACCAGCGUUUUUCAAGCAUCCACUGGGGGUUGUGGAACAAUUCCUCUGUGGAUAAAGAGGGACUAUUGUACAGUGCUUGGCUUUAAACGUGCCUUAAAUUUCUCUGAUACAAGUCAUGGGUAUGAUACCACAAGGACAGGGCUGACUUCUGAGGUCUCAUCUCUAGCUGUUGUUAGCCUGUUAAUGGUGGAUCCCCACUCAACGAUUAUUUGAGGUAUGGUAAAUGCCAGUUCUCUGUGUAUACCCAGCAUCUGGAAUAGAGGAGCUACUGAAUAACUGUUUUGCUAAAUGAAUGCCAAACAGGUUAAACCUAACAGAAAUAGAUGCCACAAACCUGUUAUAACAAUGUCCUAUGCAGAAUACUUGGUGAGUUCAUAAGGAAAUCGAAUAUCAUUUCUAGGAUUUUAAGGCGAAUGAGUGUUAAAUGCUAAACCACUGCCCACUUCCAAGGAGGAGACAAGGAACAGGUGGCUUAGAGGCCUUCUAUUGGAUUUCUGGUGCUCAGUCCAUGGUGAACUGGCUUCACCAAGCUUUAUUUAUCAUUAAGUUUAGACACCAAAGAACUAUUUCCAAAAGGGAAAAAAAAAAAAAAUUCAGACGGAGCUCGUGCAGUAGAUAACAAUUUGGCCAGCAUCAGAACAACCUUUCAGAAUUCUUCCCAUUGCAGAGCAGGAUCUGAAAACAAUGAUUUUUAAAGGGAGGAAGAACUCUCACUGCUUAACAAGGCCUUUCCCUCCCCGGGGCAUCCCAAGAGCAUGGCUGUCAGCAAUCUAGCCAGGCUGUCUCUGGGGGUGUUUGGAAAGGGGGGGGGGCAGGUUGGGGGGGGCAGGUUGGAGACGGCAGGCUGUCUGCUUCCCAAUACACAUAUUUGUUUUGGGUUUGCUAUAAGCAGUAGCUGCAAUAAUAUUGCCAUCAACUCAGAAAGCAAUGAAACAAGCGGGCAUAGGAAAGAACUGUGCCGACCCCCAACUGUCCCCUUGAGUUUCUCAUCAGUAUCCAUAUCAACACAACAGCCUCAUAUGGACAUUACAAAGAAAAAGCACUGGAGGUCAAAAGCAAGGGCCACGAUGGUCUUUCCGAUGACAAGAAAUCAACAUGGCUCAAGCUUUUAUGUAACACCGUGGCACCAUGGAGACAGCACCCAAUGAGCAUAAACCCCAUGUCUGAGCAACGAGGAGGAGUUGGUUUCUAUGAGAACCUCAACUUUUGCUUUUUCUGACUUAUUUUAAACAUGUAUCUUUAUCUCUGAAUCAAAUAAAACUUAGAUGUAUUUUUUCCCCCUUUCAUUUUUGGCACUGAAGAAUUCUAAUCUUGGUCUCUUAAAUUCCAUGUUAAUACCUAAAGAAGAGAAUUUGAAUGUACUGUCCAGGCUGAUAGAGAAUAGCUACAGGGUGGGGAGAAAGCCACAGGAAAUACCCACGUGGAUCUUGCAAGUACAAGCUUCCAGAAGGUAUCCUGACACACACCUGGCAGCCAAAUGUAAAAGCUACUUACUUGAAUAAAUUUAGAGUGAAUUUCUAAACCAA